This 439-nucleotide ribosomal RNA is filed under the name uncultured bacterium. RNAcentral's name for it is "bacterial SSU rRNA". It matches the Rfam family "Bacterial small subunit ribosomal RNA", at positions 28 to 507 of the family's 1533-position model. The record is from RNAcentral.
GAUGAACGCUGGCGGUAUGCCUAACACAUGCAAGUCGUACGAGAGUUUUUAACUCUAGUGGCGGACGGGUGAGUAACACGUGAGAAUUUGCCUUUAGGAGGGGGAUAACAAUUGGAAACGAAUGCUAAUACCCCAUAUGCUUUUGAGUGAAAUGGAUUUUAUCCGCCUAGAGAGAAGCUCGCGGCUGAUUAGCUUGUUGGUAAGGUAAGAGCUUACCAAGGCGACGAUCAGUAUCUGGUUUGAGAGGACGAUCAGACACACUGGAACUGAGACACGGUCCAGACUCCUACGGGAGGCAGCAGUGGGGAAUUUUCCGCAAUGGGCGAAAGCCUGACGGAGCAAUACCGCGUGAGGGAAGAAUGCCUAUGGGUUGUAAACCUCUUUUCAGGGAGGAAUAAAAUGACGUGUACCUGAAGAAUAAGCAUCGGCUAACUCCGUG